Molecule: long non-coding RNA, 543 nt
Organism: Myxocyprinus asiaticus (Chinese sucker)
Lineage: Eukaryota; Metazoa; Chordata; Actinopteri; Cypriniformes; Catostomidae
Exons: 4
Source: RefSeq, a predicted model, not a curated record
CAGAGGAAGUUUGAGACACUGCUGCAGCUGUCUGCUGAACGUCGUACCAAGCUGGAGACCAGUACGAUCUCUAUGUAUUUGAGAGAGAAGCUAGAGAUCUACAGAACUGGCUUCUCUUUCAUAAGACCAUUGCAGAGUCUGGAGGGGGUUGAGGCAAAGUAGGUCGAAGUAAACUGGCAACAAUCAGUGCAGUCGUCGGCGGCACAGCAAAAAUAGAAGGCUCUGCUCAAGCUGUGGGAGGACUUAAGACUAUGAAAGCAAGAGCAGAGAAUUUACGUUCUGCUAGAGAGGUUCACCAGUUUGACCAUGACUUGGAUGAGCUCAGGAGCUGGAUGAGUGAAAACGAGGUGACUCUGGACUCAGAAGAACAGGAGAAUGAUCUCCUUCAAGCUCUCAUCCACCAACAUGAAGGCUUUGAGCUGGAGGAGCACCUUACAGAGCUCCAGUAGCUGGAGGUGCGGGUGCUUCAGGCCUGGGCAGAAAGGAGAUCUCAGUAUCAGGGAGACCUGGAACUACAGCAGCUGCAGAGGGAGUUAGAGCAGG